GUACCCCGCCGGCCUGCCGACCCGGGUCCGGGGGCCCAGUUGGCGCCCGGACCAGCUCUCCGGUCUGCGUCCUGUAGAUGGGAAAACUGAGGCCUGAGAGGGCGCGAGGGCGGGGACGAGGCCGAGGACUCGGGUUCGAAUCUCGAGGACGCCAGUAGCCCGCUCUGAGGCCGCGUGGGGCUGGUGGAGGAGCCACCGGUCGGGCCCCCAAGACCGGCUGACGUGGGCCUCGCCUCGGGCGACUCCCGCCGGGCUAGUGGCUGGCCGUGUGGUGACCUUGGGCGAGUUACUUCGCACAGCCACCCAGGGGCCUCUUCUCCAACACGAUAGCACUGCACCCGGAGGUUCCCAGAAGAACCACAAAGCAUAAAUUUCCCCAAAAGGGGAAUUUUGUUGAUGGCUUUAGUCUAUUCCCUCCUAAAAGACCAGCUACAACCAAAUGAAGUGAACAUAACCUCAAGGGUGUAUUGUCUUCAUAAUAAAAGAUGAAGCUUAGAACUGGAUCACUUGGCCCUUUCUCUUCUGACAUCCUCCCAGUUGAAAAGGCCUGCAUCUCCUAAUAGCCUGCCAGCAUUCUCUUAGAUCUGCAGUUGGGCUCAAAACACCCAAGCCUCUGCACAAUGUUCUUUGUAAUUUCAGUCUUUUCCCUGAAAAGUUGGCCUAGUAGCCAUACUGCUUCCUGUCAUAAUGCUGCCUUCCCCGGGCAUACAGAAGACCCUUGCCCUUCUUAUAUUGUGUCACUUUGUGGGGUUGGUGCUUGCUACAAUUCUUAUAGAAAGUCUGGUGAGUUUUAGGAACGUUCACCAUGUUUGUGGGAGUGCUAUAACUACCUUUGUUGUGUUUUUCUGUCUUUUUCUUCUUUCUGAUGUGCUGGUUCCUUGCUUUUCCCUUCCUCCCUUGGUUCCUAUCUGAGCUGCUUUUUUUUUUUUUUUUUUGAGACGGAGUCUCGCUCUGUUGCCCAGGCUGGAGUGCAGUGGUGCAAUCUCGGCUCAC
RNAcentral lists this long non-coding RNA (993 nucleotides) under Homo sapiens (human). RNAcentral's name for it is "non-protein coding lnc-FOXO6-2:15". Lineage: Eukaryota; Metazoa; Chordata; Mammalia; Primates; Hominidae. The record is from RNAcentral.